Molecule: ribosomal RNA, 253 nt
Filed under: uncultured bacterium
Lineage: Bacteria
Description: partial 16S ribosomal RNA
Rfam family: Bacterial small subunit ribosomal RNA
Source: RNAcentral
UACAGAGGGUGCGAGCGUUAAUCGGAAUUACUGGGCGUAAAGCGCGCGUAGACGGUUUGGUAAGUCAGAUGUGAAAUCCCUGGGCUCAACCUGGGAACUGCAUUUGAUACUGCCUGGCUAGAGUAUGGAAGAGGGAAGUGGAAUUUCCGGUGUAGCGGUGAAAUGCGUAGAUAUCGGAAGGAACACCAGUGGCGAAAGCGACUUCCUGGUCCAAUACUGACGUUCAUGUGCGAAAGCGUGGGGAGCAAACAGG